AAUUUUGGACAAUGGGGGAAACCCUGACCUAGCCAUCCCGCGUGUAUGAUGAAGGCCUUCGGGUUGUAAAGUACUUUUGGCAGAGAAGAAAAGGUAUCUCCUAAUACGAGGUACUGCUGACGGUAUCUGCAGAAUAAGCACCGGCUAACUCCGUUCCCGAAGCAGCGGUAACACGUAGGGUGCAAUCGUUAAUCGGAAUUACGGGGCGUAAAGCAAGUGUAGGGGGUUAGGAAAGAGAGAUGUGGAAUCCCAGGGCUCAACAUUGGAACUGCAUUUUUAACUGCCGAGCUAGAGUAUAUCAGAGGGGGAUAGAAAUCCACGUGUAGCAGUGAAAUGCGUAGAUAUGUGGAGGAAUACCGAUGGCGAAGGCAGCCCCCUGGGAUAAUACUGACGCUCAGACACGAAAGCGUGGGGAGAAAGCA
Molecule: ribosomal RNA, 422 nt
Filed under: uncultured bacterium
Lineage: Bacteria
Description: partial 16S ribosomal RNA
Rfam family: Bacterial small subunit ribosomal RNA
Source: RNAcentral